UAUUUUGUACUCUGGGCCAUGAGGCCAUUAUGCGAAAUAAAUCUCUCACACACAAUACGGGGAUCUGUCUGCAAGCGGUAUCACUGAAUGUGAUCAACAACAUCUGCACAAUGCAGGGUGUGACUAGCGCUUCCCGGCAAUAGAUCGGGUUUUCCAGGAACGUGGCUUCCUUUCUAUUUGAAUAUGAUAUGGUAAUUUAUCUCACUCAACCAAUAGGCAGACUAGGUCACAUGACUGGCUUAUGAUAUUUAAAGUGGUCGCGAAAAGCCCUCAGUUAAAUCGCUAAAUCUCCCUCCAAAUCAUCAACAAUCAGCGAAUUUUGUCACCGGAUCUUGUAGAAAGUACCGUACGUUUGAACCCUGCAAGCAGCAAUAUGUCGGACAGACCAGAUCAAAAAGCCGCCGACAACCGCAGCAACCAGUGCAACCCAAACAAUGAGAAAUAUGAUGGUCACAAGAAGGGGUACCCCGGAACGGGCGACAAAGCGGACUUGGAUAACCAUGGCAAGCAGUUAAACCCAAACAAUCCUGAAUAUGGAGGGGGCUCUGCUGGAGAAAAGAAGUGAUGUUCUUGCUUGACUUAUUCGCACAGAAAAUGUAGACGUGUUUAAUACACGCAGUGAUUAGUAGGGUUGUCUUAUUAAAUUCAAGUAACGAAAUACGUGUAAUAAAUACCAUAAAAUCUC
Haliotis rubra (blacklip abalone) is the source of this 685-nucleotide long non-coding RNA. RefSeq lists it as uncharacterized. The record is from RefSeq and is a predicted model, not a curated record. The transcript is spliced from 2 exons. Lineage: Eukaryota; Metazoa; Mollusca; Gastropoda; Lepetellida; Haliotidae.